Molecule: ribosomal RNA, 460 nt
Filed under: uncultured bacterium
Lineage: Bacteria
Description: partial 16S ribosomal RNA
Rfam family: Bacterial small subunit ribosomal RNA
Source: RNAcentral
CCUACGGGGGGCUGCAGUGAGGAAUAUUGGUCAAUGGACGGGAGUCUGAACCAGCCAAGUAGCGUGCAGGAUGAAUGCCCUAUGGGUUGUAAACUGCUUUUAUAUGGGAAUAAAAUGUUCCACGUGUGGGGUUUUGUAUGUACCAUAUGAAUAAGGCUCGGCUAACUCCGUUCCAGCAGCUGCGGUAAUACGGAGGAGCCGAGCGUUAUCCGGAUUUAUGGGGUUUAAAGGGAGCGUAGGUGGAUCGUUAAGUCAGUUGUGAAAGUUUGCGGCUCAACCGUAACCUUGCAGUUGAAACUGGCAGUCUUGAGUACAGUAGAGGUGGGCGGAAUUCGUGGUGUAGCGGUGAAAUGCUUAGAUAUCACGAAGAACUCCGAUUGCGAAGGCAGCUUACUGGACUGCAACUGACACUGAGGCUCGAAAGUGUGGGUAUCAAACAGGAUUAGAUACCCUAGUAGUC